GGAAUAUAGCUCAACGGUAGAGCAGCACUCUUAUACGGUGUCGGUUAAAGGUUCGGGCCCUUUUAUUUCCA
This 71-nucleotide transfer RNA is filed under the name Hufsiella ginkgonis. RNAcentral describes it as "tRNA-Ile". It matches the Rfam family "tRNA". From Rfam's summary of the family: Transfer RNA (tRNA) molecules are approximately 80 nucleotides in length. Lineage: Bacteria; Pseudomonadati; Bacteroidota; Sphingobacteriia; Sphingobacteriales; Sphingobacteriaceae. The record is from RNAcentral.